RNAcentral lists this transfer RNA (73 nucleotides) under Hyphessobrycon pulchripinnis. RNAcentral's name for it is "tRNA-Gly". It matches the Rfam family "tRNA". From Rfam's summary of the family: Transfer RNA (tRNA) molecules are approximately 80 nucleotides in length. Their secondary structure includes four short double-helical elements and three loops (D, anti-codon, and T loops). Further hydrogen bonds mediate the characteristic L-shaped molecular structure. tRNAs have two regions of fundamental functional importance: the anti-codon, which is responsible for specific mRNA codon recognition, and the 3' end, to which the tRNAs corresponding amino acid is attached (by aminoacyl-tRNA synthetases). tRNAs cope with the degeneracy of the genetic code in two manners: having more than one tRNA (with a specific anti-codon) for a particular amino acid; and 'wobble' base-pairing, i.e. permitting non-standard base-pairing at the 3rd anti-codon position. The record is from RNAcentral. Lineage: Eukaryota; Metazoa; Chordata; Actinopteri; Characiformes; Acestrorhamphidae.
AACUUUCUAGUACUUAAAGUUAGUACAAAUGACUUCCAAUCACUUAGUCUUGGUUAAAAUCCAAGGAAAGAUA